This 3678-nucleotide ribosomal RNA is filed under the name Triticum aestivum (bread wheat). RNAcentral describes it as "partial small subunit ribosomal RNA". The record is from RNAcentral. Lineage: Eukaryota; Viridiplantae; Streptophyta; Magnoliopsida; Poales; Poaceae.
AUGCAGGAGGGACUGGGCGGACCUGACCGCCAGGCCGGCGGGCCUGGUCGCCGAGCGUGUCCUAGCGGACAAUAUCGUCGACUACCUCCGCUUCCGCGCGGUGUGCAAGUCAUGGCGGCGAUGCAGCGCCUCCCAGCACGCGCAUGGCGGCCUGGACCGCCGGUUCCAUCCCUGGAGGUGGAUCAUGCUCCCGCGGACCUCCGGCGGCGCCGCGACCUCCUCAACGUCUCGACCGGGAAGCGCAUCCAGGUGGACCUACCGGAGCUCCGCUGCCAGUACGUGUUCGGGGGCACCUCCGAGGGCCUUCUCGUGCUGUGCCACAAGCGCACCUACAUCGUCCGCCUCCUCAACCCGCUCACCCGGCAGCUCGUCGUCUUCCCGAACGCGACCACGCUGCUGUACAACCCUAACACCCAGUGGGCCAGGAACAGCGCUCCACCUCGGCCCGGCUCGCUGUUCACCGCCAAGCCCGGUGAUGAGCGAUGGACGUCGUUGCCCAUCGAUCACCGCAACAACAACGCGAUCAUUGCGACAUUGUCGUUCGACGGCUGCUUCUACUGCGCCACCGAGAAGGCCCUCAUGGUGGUGGACGCCACCGCAGACCAGCCGCCGCGGUUGGUGGUGGUGGCGGCCUGGCUAAGCAGCUGGGAUUUUAAGCGGUACGAUUGGACCGUGAACCUAGUGGACAACAACGGGGAACUCGUUCUGGUGCACGGGGCCGGGCGUGGAGGUUACGAGGUGCACCAGGUGGAUCCGGAGGCGGGAAUCACCCUGCCUAUGCAGGGACUCGGUGGGUGCGCCUUGUUCGUCAGAAUGUGUUGGCGAGGGGACAAAAAGGGUCCAUGUGGCACGUUCAUGCAUGACGAGAAAGAACUCCACUGCCAGUACGUGUUCGGGGCCACCUCCGAGGGCCUUCUCGUGUUGUGCCACAAGCGCACCUACGCCGUCCGACUCCUCAACCCGCUCACCCGGCAGCCCGUCGUCCUCCCGGACGCGACCACACUGCUGUACAACCCUAACACCCACUGGGCCAGGAACAGGUCUUCCCUCAACCUCAAGUACAUGCGCGUGUCCGGCGCCGGUCUCGCCGGCGGCUCAACCAUAGCGCUCCACCUCGGCCCAUGCUCGCUGUUCACCGCCAAGCCCGGCGAUGAGCAGUGGACGCCGUUGGCCAUCGAUCACCGCAACAACAAGGCGAUCAUUGCGACAUUGUCGUUUGACGGCCGCUUCUACUACGCCACCGAGAAGGCCCUCGUGGUGGUGGACGCCACCGCAGACCAGCCGCCGCGGCUGGUGGUGGUGGCGGCCUGGCUAAGCAGCUGGGAUUUUAAGCAGUACGAUUGGAGCGUGAACCUAGUGGACAACAGCGGGGAGCUCAUUAUGGUGCACAGGGCCAGGCAUGGAGGUUACGAGGUGCACCAGCUCCGCUGCCAGUACGUGUUCGGGGCCACCUCCGAGGGCCUUCUCGUGCUGUGCCACAAGCGCACCUACGCCGUCCGACUCCUCAACCCGCUCACCCGGCAGCCCGUCGUCCUCCCGGACGCGACCACGCUGUUGUACAACCCUAACACCCAGUGGGCCAGGAACAGGUGUUCCCUCAACCUCAAGUACCUGCGCGUGUCCGGCGCCGGUCUCGCCGGCGGCUCAACUGUAGCGCUCCACCUCGGCCCGUGCUUGCUGUUCACCGCCAAGCCCGGCGAUGAGCGGUGGACGCCGUUGGCCAUCGAUCACCGCAACAACAACGCGAUCAUUGCGACAUUGUCAUUCGACGGCCGCUUCUACUGCGCCAUCGAGAAGGCCCUCAUGGUGGUGGACGCCACCGCAGACCAGCCGCCGCGGCUGGUGGUGGUGGCGGCCUGGCUAAGCAGCUGGGAUUUUAAGCAGUACGAUUGGACCGUGAACCUAGUGGACAACGGCGGGGAGCUUGUUCUGGUGCAUGGGGCCGGGCAUGGAGGUUACGAGGUGCAUCAGGUGGAUCCGGAGGCGGGAAUCACCCUGCCUAUGCAGGGACUCGGUGGGCAUGCCUUGUUCGUCGGAAUGCGUCUCCCAGGGCAAAAAAGAGGGCUCGCACUGUUGGUGCAUGCGGGGCCGUUCCCUUACGUGAGUGCUGACACCAUCUACUCGUGCAUGGAUUAUGGUCGCAAGUAUGAGCCACCGAGAAUUCAGGCCUACCAUCUCCAUGGGUAUGGCCACAUCCAAGGCAUUAUUGAUGGUGCCGGGCGAUGCAGUGCCAUUGAAGACUAUGUGUCUCGCUACGUCUGCGGCCGAAAGAUCGUCAGGAAUCAAUCAAGGAAAUCACUUUCCAACUUGGUAUCAGUUGCCAGGACCCUCGCCAUGGCCGCGGACGACACCUCCUCCUCCGCCGCCGCCAUGAGCUCGGCCACGUCGCCGGGCACCCUCUCCUCCUCCUCCUCGGUACCUGUCGCCGGCACCUCCCCGGCCACCGCCCCGACCACCCCUCCCUUCAUCUUCGGCAUGUCCCCCACCCUCUUCAGCGGCUCCUUCCCCGCCACGGCCUCUCAAUUUGCCCCUCUCUUCACCACCGCCGGCCCCUCCCUUGCGCCCUCGCCGGCCACCGGCUCUCCCCGCCCCAUUUUUCGUGAUCACAUCACGAACCACAUCAAGUUCCUCCUCAAUCCUGCCGAUCACAAUUAUCAUAAGUGGAAGACUUUCUUCUUGAUGGUCCUAGUUCGCUACGGUGUCUCCUACCUCCUCGACCACCCUCCACCUCCCAAUGCUCUGUCCCACUACCUUGAGCUCGACGCCCAUGUCGUUCUGUGGAUCUAUGCUACUCUCUCGGACACCAUGUGUGACCACGUUGUUGGCGCCACCACCACCUACGCCCUCUGGCACAAGAUCAACGAUUUCUUCCUCGCCAAUCGCGACGCCCGCUUCAUGAUCCUCAACCGCCAAUACCGCAACCUCAAGCAGGGUGAUCUCUCGUUUCUUCACGGCGUCGACAAGCGGCUCGACACCAUCCGUGUCGUCCUCGGUGACCAGGGCCUCCCCUUCGACACCGUCCUCUCCCGUGUUGUCCUUGCGGAGGAGUCGCAGGCACAGCGCGCGGCGGAGGAAGGCGCCUCCGCGCUCACCAUGGCGGGUGGCAGCUCUUCGGGCAGCGGUUCCUCGGCCGGCUCCUCUGGUGGUCGCGGCCAGGGUGAUCGCGCGGCCGACCGCUCCUAUGAUCGCGCCCCCGAUGCUCCCCAUCCGCCGUCCCACUCAUCUGGUCGCGGGCGUGGUGACCGCUCUGGUGACAGCGGUGACCGCGGCCACGGGCACGGGAGCGGUCGUGGCCGGGGGCGCGGCGACCACUCCGGGCGUUGUCAGCAGGCGCCUUCGUUCUCUCCUUUCACGGGGUACUUUGCCCCGUACGAGAUGGCUCUCCCGACGCCCCGCCCUGGCUGGAUCCCGCCGAACGCCGCCGUGCCAUCCACUCCAUACUAUCAUCCCCCACAACCCUCGUGGGACCACCUCGCCAUGCUCAACGCCGCCUUCAGCAAUGGCGGCUACGCCACGCCCCCGACUCCCGAGUGGUAUCUCGACAGUGGCGCUUCCUCGCACGUGACGGGCACCCAAGGAAAUCACUUUCCAACUGACGUCAACGCCCGGCACUGCGCCUGCGUCGCGGUGGCCGUCGCCGGCUAUGAACAUCCGUGCAAUAUGGGUUGCCAAAAGUGA